AACGUUUUCUUUUUUUUUCUAUCUCCUUUGAGUUUUUGUGUCUAAGUUGAUAAAAGGCUGUCCAACAAAGAGCUGGAGUUUCACAUGCAGAUUUAAUUAAGGCAUAGUGUUGAAACCUGAUUUGCAGAGCUUGCUCUAGAGCAUCUGACUCAGAUUUGCUCAGCAAACCUACCUCUUUCUUGGCUAAGAGUACAGAUGAAUAUACCUUUCAUCAAGCAUGUAUGAUGUGAUAGCAGGACCUUGUCUGCUUCAGGAAUCAAGCAUGUAAAAAUUGUAAUAGCUGUGUCUAUUCUUUUUAUCAUCGGCUAGUUCAUAUGGAGUAAAAAUCUUUUUUCAUAGCACAUGUAAUGUGUUCUGGGAGAGGUGCCAAGCAUAUUCUUACUUCUAUUUUGUUUUUGUGCAAAGGUGUUCUAAAUAAGAAUAAUCAGCCCCACAGAGGAUAUGACAGUAGCCAUGUAUUUUCUGCCUAAGGAUUAUAAAAGGGUUUUCCCUCAGAGAUGUGAUAUUAAGUUACUGAAGUCUAGCAUCUGGCCUUGAAAAUACGUCUUGAUGCUCACAUACAGGUCUUUAACUACUUCCCUUUCAACCAAGUCUACCAACUUGUUUUAAUGCAUGAGGUCCAUGCAAAUAAUGGCAGCAAGACCUCCUAGAUGAAGUAUUUUUCUUCUCACUCACAAGCUUGGUGUGUUGCAUAUGAAAAUCUACGAGGACCCAAAACCCCAGACUUUAUUUUUGGGCAGCUCCCCAUAGUUGUUGAUGCAGAAAUAAGGGAUUUUUCCAGAGUUUUUACAUCAGAAGUGUGGGACAGAAGAUAA
Molecule: long non-coding RNA, 815 nt
Filed under: Cyanistes caeruleus (blue tit)
Lineage: Eukaryota; Metazoa; Chordata; Aves; Passeriformes; Paridae
Description: lncRNA (ENSCCEG00000016036.1)
Source: RNAcentral